UACGUAGGGGCCUAGCGUUGUCCGGAUUUAUUGGGCGUAAAGAGCUCGUAGGCGGUUCAGUCAGUCGGGUGUGAAAUCUCCGGGCUCAACCCGGAGGGGCCACCCGAUACUGCUGUGACUCGAGUCCGGUAGGGGAGUGGGGAAUUCCUGGUGUAGCGGUGAAAUGCGCAGAUAUCAGGAGGAACACCGGUGGCGAAGGCGCCACUCUGGGCCGGUACUGACGCUGAGGAGCGAAAGCGUGGGUAGCAAACAGG
Molecule: ribosomal RNA, 254 nt
Filed under: uncultured bacterium
Lineage: Bacteria
Description: partial 16S ribosomal RNA
Rfam family: Bacterial small subunit ribosomal RNA
Source: RNAcentral